Cynoglossus semilaevis (tongue sole) is the source of this 222-nucleotide long non-coding RNA. RefSeq lists it as uncharacterized. The record is from RefSeq and is a predicted model, not a curated record. The transcript is spliced from 3 exons. Lineage: Eukaryota; Metazoa; Chordata; Actinopteri; Pleuronectiformes; Cynoglossidae.
GUUUUGUUUGCUCACAGGAAGUGGGUACUGAGCAUCCAAUCAGACGCGCGAGAUUUCUGAGCACAGUUUAUCGCGAGACGUGGCCUCUUCCUUUUCCCUUUUCGCUCUGAGUCCAAGAUGGGAGUUGACAUCAGGCACAACAAGGACCGUAAGGUGCACAGGAAAGAACCAAAGAGCCAGGAUAUCUAUCUGAGGCUCCUGGUCAAGUUGUUCAGGUUCCUG